Molecule: unclassified non-coding RNA, 344 nt
Filed under: Hevea brasiliensis (rubber tree)
Lineage: Eukaryota; Viridiplantae; Streptophyta; Magnoliopsida; Malpighiales; Euphorbiaceae
Source: RNAcentral
AAGUUAUUGAGCAUACAAAACCAUCAGGAUGGUUUAAAUGCAUUUGGGUUUAAAUGGAGCAUUUAGCAAGCAAAACACAACAAAAUGACAACAAAUGGCCAAGGCAAGGCAAGCGCCGCAGUGCUGGAAGGCAGAAGCUUCACCUUCAGGUGGUGCUACAGUGCUACGGAUUUUAAUGGAACCUACACAAGCAAGAGAGCACUGCGGUGCUAUAGCAUGGUGCUCCUAUCAGGGGCAUUAGUGCCACGACGCUACCUUACAGUGUUGCAUCGCCAGCGUGUUUUUUAUAUAAGCUUCCUUAAUUUUUAGGGUUUAUGAGGGGGAGUGAAGAGAGGAGAAUUUUG